GAUGAACGCUGGCGGCGUGCCUAAUACAUGCCAGUCGAGCGAACAGACCAGCAUUUUGCUCCUCUGACGUUAGCGGCGGACGGGUGAGUAACACGUGGAUAACCUACCUUUUAGACUCGGAUAACUUAGGGACACCGGAGCUAGUACCGGAUAAUAUAUUGAACCGCAUGGUUCAAUAGUGAAAGGCGGUUUUGCUGUUACUUAUAGAUGGAUCCGCGCCGCAUUAGCUAGUUGGUAAGGUAACGGCUUACCAAGGCAACGAUGCGUAGCGGACCUGAGAGGGUGAUCGGCGACAGUGGAACUGAGACACGGGCCAGACUCCUACGGGAGGCAGCAGUAGGGAAUCGGCCGCAAUGGGCGAAAGCCGGACGGAGCAACGCCGCGUGAGUGAUGAAGGUCUUCGGAUUGGAGAACUCUGCUACUAGGGAAGAAGAGGUGGGUAAGUGACUAUGCGCGUCUUGACGGUAGUGGAAGAGAAAGCCACGGCUAACUACGUG
RNAcentral lists this ribosomal RNA (497 nucleotides) under uncultured bacterium. Its description in RNAcentral is "partial 16S ribosomal RNA". It matches the Rfam family "Bacterial small subunit ribosomal RNA", at positions 28 to 507 of the family's 1533-position model. The record is from RNAcentral.